Molecule: ribosomal RNA, 468 nt
Filed under: uncultured bacterium
Lineage: Bacteria
Description: partial 16S ribosomal RNA
Rfam family: Bacterial small subunit ribosomal RNA
Source: RNAcentral
GACGAACGCUGGCGGCGUGCUUAACACAUGCAAGUCGAACGGAAAGGCCCUGCGUUUGUUGGGUUCUCGAUUGGCGAACGGGUGAGUAACACGUGUGUAACCUCCCCUUGACUUUGUGAUAACUUCAUGAGACUGGGGCUAAUACCGGGUAGGAUCUCCUGCUGCAUGGUGUGGGUUGGAAAGUGUCGGCUUUUGUGGAUGUACUGGCUGCUUAUCAGCUUGUUGGGGGGGUAGUGGCUUACCAAGGCUUUGACGGGUAGCCGGCCUGAGAGGUUGAACGGGGUCAUGGGGACUGAGAUACGGAGCAGAAUCUUACCGGAGGCAGUAGUGGGGAAUCUUGCACAAUGGGCGGAAGUCUGAUGUAGCAACGUCGCGAGCGGGAUGCCGGCCUUCGGGUUGUAAACAGAUUUCGCAUGUGACGAAGAGUGAGUGACGGUAAUGGGUAAAGAAGCACCGGCUAACUACGUG